Oryza sativa Japonica Group (Japanese rice) is the source of this 139-nucleotide small nucleolar RNA. It matches the Rfam family "Small nucleolar RNA Z247". Rfam says of the family: Z247 is a member of the C/D class of snoRNA which contain the C (UGAUGA) and D (CUGA) box motifs. Most of the members of the box C/D family function in directing site-specific 2'-O-methylation of substrate RNAs. The record is from Rfam. Lineage: Eukaryota; Viridiplantae; Streptophyta; Magnoliopsida; Poales; Poaceae.
CCAAUUGAUCAAGAUGAUCUUAUUGCUUAUAUCAUUAACGGUCUUGAUGCAAACUUUGAUCCUGUUGUCGAGGCUCUCGUCGCUAGGGUUGAACCCAUCACAGUGCAAGAGAUGUAUUCUCAUCUGCUGAACUUUGAGA